This 784-nucleotide ribosomal RNA is filed under the name uncultured bacterium. RNAcentral's name for it is "SSU rRNA". It matches the Rfam family "Bacterial small subunit ribosomal RNA", at positions 70 to 853 of the family's 1533-position model. The record is from RNAcentral.
CACAGUGUAGCAAUACAUGGGUGGCGACCGGCAAACGGGUGCGGAACACGUACGCAACCUUCCUUCAGGCGGGGAAUAGCCCAGAGAAAUUUGGAUUAAUACCCCAUAAUAUUUUGAGAUGGCAACAUCUUAUUAUUAAAGCUACGGCACCUGGAGAUGGGCGUGCGGCUGAUUAGGUAGUUGGCGGGGUAAUGGCCCACCAAGCCUACGAUCAGUAGCUGAUGUGAGAGCAUGAUCAGCCACACGGGCACUGAGACACGGGCCCGACUCCUACGGGAGGCAGCAGUAAGGAAUAUUGGUCAAUGGACGCAAGUCUGAACCAGCCAUGCCGCGUGGAGGAUGAAGGUCCUCUGGAUUGUAAACCUCUUUUAUCUGGGACGAAAAAAGGGUUUUCUAACUCGUCUGACGGUACCAGAUGAAUAAGCACCGGCUAACUCCGUGCCAGCAGCCGCGGUAAUACGGAGGGUGCAAGCGUUAUCCGGAUUCACUGGGUUUAAAGGGUGCGUAGGCGGGCAUUUAAGUCAGUGGUGAAAUACCUGAGCUUAACUUGGGAACUGCCAUUGAUACUAUUUGUCUUGAAUGUCGUGGAGGUUAGCGGAAUAUGUCAUGUAGCGGUGAAAUGCUUAGAUAUGACAUAGAACACCUAUUGCGAAGGCAGCUAACUACGCGAAUAUUGACGCUGAGGCACGAAAGCGUGGGGAUCAAACAGGAUUAGAUACCCUGGUAGUCCACGCCCUAAACGAUGAUUACUCGACAUUAGCGAUACACUGUUAGUGUCUGAGCG